UGGGGAAUAUUGCACAAUGGGCGAAAGCCUGAUGCAGCGACGCCGCGUGAGGGAUGACGGCCUUCGGGUUGUAAACCUCUUUCAGUAGGGACGAAGCGCAAGUGACGGUACCUGCAGAAGAAGCACCGGCUAACUACGUGCCAGCAGCCGCGGUAAUACGUAGGGUGCGAGCGUUGUCCGGAAUUGCUGGGCGUAAAUAGCUCGUAGGCGGUUUGUCACGUCGUCUGUGAAAUCCUAGGGCUUAACCCUGGACGUGCAGGCGAUACGGGAUGACUUUAGUACUACAGGGGAGACUGGAAUUUCUGGUGUAGCGGUGGAAUGCACAGAUAUCAGGAAGAACACCGAUGGCGAAGGCAGGUCUCUGGGUAGUAACUGACGCUGAGGAGCGAAAGCAUGGGUAGCGAACAGG
This 409-nucleotide ribosomal RNA is filed under the name bacterium. Its description in RNAcentral is "partial 16S ribosomal RNA". It matches the Rfam family "Bacterial small subunit ribosomal RNA", at positions 355 to 776 of the family's 1533-position model. The record is from RNAcentral.